GGGCGAGGAGUGGGGAACAUAAGGAUGUCGAAUAAUUGAUUUAUAUGGUAAAGGGCUGGCUCUUAAUCAAUGGACCCAAGGUUCGAAUCCUUGAGCGCCCA
This 101-nucleotide transfer RNA is filed under the name Xanthomonas sp. F1. RNAcentral describes it as "tRNA-Ser". Lineage: Bacteria; Pseudomonadati; Pseudomonadota; Gammaproteobacteria; Lysobacterales; Lysobacteraceae. The record is from RNAcentral.